AAAUUUGGAUUAAUACCCCRUAAGAAUGUGGAYUGGCAUCAGUCAGCAUUUAAAGAUUUAUCACUUGAAGAUGGGCGUGCGUCUGAUUAGGUAGUUGGUGAGGUAACGGCUCACCAAGCCGACGAUCAGUAACUGGCGUGAGAGCGCGACCAGUCACACGGGCACUGAGACACGGGCCCGACUCCUACGGGAGGCAGCAGUAAGGAAUAUUGGUCAAUGGACGCAAGUCUGAACCAGCCAUGCCGCGUGGAGGAUGAAGGCCCUCUGGGUUGUAAACUUCUUUUAUUUGGGACGAAACACUUCUUUUCUAAGGAGCUUGACGGUACCAGAUGAAUAAGCACCGGCUAACUCCGUGCCAGCAGCCGCGGUAAUACGGAGGGUGCAAGCGUUAUCCGGAUUCACUGGGUUUAAAGGGUGCGUAGGCGGACAUGUAAGUCCGUGGUGAAAUCUCCGAGCUUAACUYGGAAACUGCCAUGGAUACUAUAUGUCUUGAAUGUUGUGGAGGUUAGCGGAAUAUGUCAUGUAGCGGUGAAAUGCAUAGAUAUGACAUAGAACACCAAUUGCGAAGGCAGCUGGCUACACAAAUAUUGACGCUGAGGCACGAAAGCGUGGGGAUCAAACAGGAUUAGAUACCCUGGUAGUCCACGCCCUAAACGAUGAUUACUCGACAUACGCGAUACACAGUGUGUGUCUGAGCGAAAGCAUUAAGUAAUCCACCUGGGAAGUACGACCGCAAGGUUGAAACUCAAAGGA
RNAcentral lists this ribosomal RNA (753 nucleotides) under Chitinophaga sp. FDR45.5. RNAcentral describes it as "bacterial SSU rRNA". It matches the Rfam family "Bacterial small subunit ribosomal RNA", at positions 154 to 908 of the family's 1533-position model. Lineage: Bacteria; Pseudomonadati; Bacteroidota; Chitinophagia; Chitinophagales; Chitinophagaceae. The record is from RNAcentral.